RNAcentral lists this ribosomal RNA (561 nucleotides) under uncultured archaeon. RNAcentral describes it as "bacterial SSU rRNA". It matches the Rfam family "Archaeal small subunit ribosomal RNA", at positions 318 to 879 of the family's 1478-position model. The record is from RNAcentral.
UCGCCCUUCGGGGUGCAGCAGGCGCGAAAACUUUACAAUGCCGGCAACGGCGAUAAGGGAACCUCGAGUGCCAGGUUACAAAUCUGGCUGUCGUGAUGCCUAAAAAGCAUUGCAUAGCAAGGGCCGGGCAAGACCGGUGCCAGCCGCCGCGGUAACACCGGCGGCUCGAGUGGUAACCGUUAUUAUUGGGUCUAAAGGGUCUGUAGCCGGCCGGGUAAGUCUCUUGGGAAAUCUGGCAGCUUAACUGUCAGGCUUUCAGGAGAUACUGCCUGGCUCGAGGCCGGGAGAGGUGAGAGGUACUUCAGGGGUAGGGGUGAAAUCUUGUAAUCCUUGAAGGACCACCAGUGGCGAAGGCGUCUCACCAGAACGGACCUGACGGCAAGGGACGAAAGCUAGGGGCACGAACCGGAUUAGAUACCCGGGUAGUCCUAGCCGUAAACGAUACUCGCUAGGUGUCGGCCACGGUGCGACCGUGGUCGGUGCCGUAGGGAAGCCGUGAAGCGAGCCACCUGGGAAGUACGGCCGCAAGGCUGAAACUUAAAGGAAUUGGCGGGGGAGCAC